Molecule: long non-coding RNA, 455 nt
Organism: Corvus hawaiiensis (hawaiian crow)
Lineage: Eukaryota; Metazoa; Chordata; Aves; Passeriformes; Corvidae
Exons: 3
Source: RefSeq, a predicted model, not a curated record
GGAAUGAGCCCUUCCCCUUCCUAGGAAAAUGAUGGAGCUGCUAACGCAGAGCUUGCUUGGGAUGUGGGUAUCUCUGUUAAAGGCCUUCUUUUAGAUCAGAUCCCCAAACCAGUGGAUUUGGCACUUCUUGGACAGAAGGAAAAUCUUUCUCCAUUCUGCUUGACUUUGAGCAAGGAACUGAUUUCAGAUCUGCCUCCUUUUGAAAUGUGCCAGCCACAGAACUCCUGAAUACUCUGCAAUGAGCCUUUCAGUCUCUUCUGCAACAAUACCCCACUGUGCAACAGGGACUGGCCUGCAAAAAAGCCUGCUGGAAAACUGCAUCACCAUUGGAGUAAGUGCCAUCAGUCAUGUGAGAUGAUUUCUUCACAUCAGCUUUUUUUUUACCAAAGAGAUUGAUGAAAUCUAUUCUGCAAGUUGGAGGCACAGACUGAGGUCUGCUGGUGCAGAACAGAGGC